CGUAGAUAUUAGAAAGAAUACCAAUUGCGAAGGCAGCUUUCUGGAUCAUUACUGACACUGAGGAACGAAAGCAUGGGUAGCGAAGAGGAUUAGAUACCCUCGUAGUCCAUGCCGUAAACGAUGUGUGUUAGACGUUGGAAAUUUAUUUUCAGUGUCGCAGCGAAAGCGAUAAACACACCGCCUGGGGAGUACGACCGCAAGGUUAAAACUCAAAUGAAUUGACGGGGACCCGCACAAGUAGUGGAGCAUGUGGUUUAAUUCGAAGAUACGCGCAGAACCUUACCAACACUUGACAUGUUCGUCGCGACUCUAAGAGAUUAGAGUUUUCGGUUCGGCCGGACGAAACACAGGUGCUGCAUGGCUGUCGUCAGCUCGUGUCGUGAGAUGUUGGGUUAAGUCCCGCAACGAGCGCAACCCUCACUUUUAGUUGCCAUCAUUAAGUUGGGCACUCUGAAAGAACUGCCAGUGAUAAGCUGGAGGAAGGUGGGGAUGACGUCAAGUCCUCAUGGCCCUUACGUGUUGGGCUACACACGUGCUACAAUGGUAUCUACAACAGGAAGCAAGACUGCGAAGUUAAGCAAAUCCCUAAAAGAUACCUCAGUUCGGAUUGCACUCUGCAACUCGAGUGCAUGAAGCUGGAAUUACUAGUAAUCGUGGAUCAGCGUGCCACGGUGAAUGCGUUCCCGGGUCUUGUACACACCGCCCGUCACACCAUGGGAGUUGGUUCUACCUUAAGGCAAGGUUUCAAACCCUUGACCACGGUAUAGUCAGCGACUGGGGUGAAGUCGUAACAAGGU
This 797-nucleotide ribosomal RNA is filed under the name marine metagenome. RNAcentral describes it as "bacterial SSU rRNA". It matches the Rfam family "Bacterial small subunit ribosomal RNA", at positions 689 to 1497 of the family's 1533-position model. The record is from RNAcentral.